UUUUCCGUCUGAACCAUUGCUAGAUCCGCCGCUGCUGAAGCUUCUGGCCGCGCCUCUGCGUUGCCGGAGCUCCACGCCGCCGCCACUGCCACCAAAAACCACCACUGAGGCCUAAGUCUGUUUGGGAUCGAGUUACGGGUCUUGAUUGCUGAGUUCUAUGGCUGCUGCAUACAGCAUCAAGGUGUUGUGUCGUCAUCGGGGCUGUUGUUACUCCAUUUUCUCGAUCAUUCGUAAGCCCAGUUUGAGCUAAGGCUGUGUUUAGAGGCUGUGGCUACUGCUGGAACGGUCAGUAUUGAUGCUGUUGUUGUGGGAUAAGAAUAGAAAUGCAGUUUGUCGCGUAGUUGAAUCGCGAAUGAGGAACAUUCAAUGCAGUUGCAAAUUUGGUGAGAAUUUGGGCUGCAGAUUGGCACGGAGGUGUGUAGGCAUGAGCAUACAUGGGUACCGUUACCAAGUCAUUGACAGUCGUAAUUUCAGAUGGACUAAAUUUAUAGUUCGCUCCGUGGAAUGUGAUAAGUCCAUGGCCUAAAUAAGCUCAUUUGGAUAUGAAAAAUGACCCAAAGUUAGCAGCAAUGUUUAGAAUUUAUUAACUAUUUCGUAUUAUUUUGUGUGGUUUGUAACUGUAAUAUUUUGUGCAAUGACAAUAGCUGUAUUGGUUAUUAAAUUUAUCCGGGAACUUAGCUAUAAUUAUUAAUUAUCUUAUA
This is a non-coding RNA of Arachis ipaensis, 701 nucleotides long. The record is from RefSeq and is a predicted model, not a curated record. NCBI's taxonomy places the organism in Eukaryota, Viridiplantae, Streptophyta, Magnoliopsida, Fabales, Fabaceae.